RNAcentral lists this ribosomal RNA (445 nucleotides) under uncultured bacterium. RNAcentral describes it as "bacterial SSU rRNA". It matches the Rfam family "Bacterial small subunit ribosomal RNA", at positions 330 to 792 of the family's 1533-position model. The record is from RNAcentral.
GCCAGACUCCUACGGGAGGCAGCAGUGGGGAAUAUUGCACAAUGGGGGAAACCCUGAUGCAGCAACGCCGCGUGGGUGAAGAAGUAUUUCGGUAUGUAAAGCUCUAUCAGCAGGGAAGAAGAUGACGGUACCUGAAUAAGAAGCCCCGGCUAACUACGUGCCAGCAGCCGCGGUAAUACGUAGGGGGCAAGCGUUAUCCGGAUUUACUGGGUGUAAAGGGAGCGCAGACGGCAGUGCAAGUCUGGAGUGAAAGCCCGGGGCCCAACCCCGGAACUGCUCUGGAAACUGUAUUUCUAGAGUGUCGGAGAGGCAAGUGGAAUUCCUGGUGUAGCGGUGAAAUGCGUAGAUAUCAGGAGGAACACCAGUGGCGAAGGCGGCUUGCUGGACGAUGACUGACGUUGAGGCUCGAAAGCGUGGGGAGCAAACAGGAUUAGAUACCCCAGUA